RNAcentral lists this small RNA (126 nucleotides) under Flavobacterium enshiense DK69. Its description in RNAcentral is "Flavobacterium sp. DK69 Flavo-1 RNA". It matches the Rfam family "Flavo-1 RNA". Lineage: Bacteria; Pseudomonadati; Bacteroidota; Flavobacteriia; Flavobacteriales; Flavobacteriaceae. The record is from Rfam by way of RNAcentral.
UUUUAGCCCCGAUAGUAGUGGAAAUCCUUUUCUUUUUUUCUUUAAAAAAGAAAAGAUUACUUCACAGCACUUCCAUUUUAAGCGGAGUUCAGUGAACUUCGUUUGCAACGGAUAGCGGGAAUAGCU